GAGUGUUUCCCAUGUAUACCAUAGCGAUUUUCAACAAGCACUGUGCGACCUGAUCUCCUCUGAAAACUCUCUCCGAAACUAUCUCCACCAAAACUCCACAAAACCCUAUCUCCGCCCGAAACCCUUCAUCACGAAGGGGUCUCGCCGCCACUCCUCCAAAACUCAAUGACGUAGCUUUCUCCACCAAUCCUCCACGCCACCCGCGACCUAGCUUCCUUCGCACAAAGGGGUCUCGCCGUUCCUUGCAGAGAUGUCGUUCCUCGCCUCAGCGUCGUCCUUCGCACAAAGGGGUCUCGCCGUUCUAGGAGAUUGGGUUGGAGAAGAUCCAGAAAAUCAUAGACGACAUGAUCGCUUGCAUGAGAAAGGUUCCUGGCGUAGGCCUCGCGGUUCCUCAGAUUGGCGUACCAUUGAAGAUUAUUGUUCUUGAAGAUAUGAAAGAGUACAUUAGUUAUGCUCCUAAGAAUGGAAUUAAAGCUCAAGAUUGUCACCCCUUUGAUCUUUUGGUUUUUAUCAAUCCAAAGAUUAAAAACAAGAGCCACAAAACCGCAUUGUUUUUUGAAGGAUGUUAGAGGUAAAUUGUUCAUUAUUUAACUAAUAAUACAGUAAGACAUCCUUUUCUAUUCUGUUAAAAUUUUGAUAUACUUUCUUUCAUCUGCUUGGACACUUCUUCAUUAUGUCAAUUGCCACCCUUAACAGCUUUUAAGAUCUUUGUAGUUGGACUGAUGGUGAUCUCCAACAAGCAAUUUAUUAAAAACAAACUGUAAGAAAUAUAUUUUUCUAUAUGAUUUUCUAUUACUAUCUUAUUAUGGAUAUAUUUAUGGUAUAUAGCUAGAUAUGGAUAAUUUGGAUAGUUUUUUUUUCUUCUAUUAUUGUGAUUUAUUUAGGUUUUAUUUGUUUUAGAUGCCAAUGAUUAUUGGAUAUUAAAUCUUCUAGUUGUUUCCAUAAUUUAGUAUGUUUGUUUAUAUGAAUAUUUGUUUAUUUAUGUUUGUAAUAUUAGGUAUUAUAAGAAAUGUAUGUAUGUAUUGUUAAGAUGUAUGAAAUAUAUAUUUAUG
This is a long non-coding RNA of Zingiber officinale, 1052 nucleotides long. RefSeq lists it as uncharacterized. The record is from RefSeq and is a predicted model, not a curated record. The transcript has 3 exons. NCBI's taxonomy places the organism in Eukaryota, Viridiplantae, Streptophyta, Magnoliopsida, Zingiberales, Zingiberaceae.